GGGAAAUAGAAGCCUGGGUAGUGGGUACUUGUCCAGUAGUGGGGAUUAGAAUGUGAAUGUGCAUGUCUCCUAUCUCUGACUGGGCUACUGAGUUUAUGGGGAUGGGGAAUGAAGUCUAUGCAAGUAGAUAAUAGGAGGGAAAAAUCUGAAGUAGAUAACAGGAGGGAAAAAUCUAUUCAGUGUCCUGUUUGGUUUUGUAUUUUUCAAAGUGCUGCUAGAUUGACCCUCAUUGAAGACCAAACUCAGCUGUUAUUUUACUCUUGACUAGGGGUGAGCAUUCGGUUAAAAUCAGACCGAACCGAUAGAAUUGAAUUAGCCAAGUUUCAUUAUUUUACAAAGCAAAGCGAACCAAACUCUGCACCAAACCAAAAUAAACCGGUUCGGUUCAGUUUAAAAAAUGGUUCUUCUCCCAUUUUAUCUGCCUUUUUUUCUCACAAAUUCACACCCAUUUUCCAUUCGAAGCUUUCAAACUUCAGAGUCAUAGAGCCACAAUAAAUGAAUAAAACACAAAAUCAACUCAAAUAAACACAAUCAAUGAAGUAAACACAUAAUUAAUUCAAUUUUAUCAUUCAUCUAAUGUCAAAAGACCAACAUGAAGUUCCAACUUGAGAUUUCCAUAAAACAAUCAAGAACUCAUAACUAAGACUUACAUUUACUAAAAACCAUAUACCAACAAACAUAUAAGCAUUAAGAAGUGAAAAAAAACCAGGCGAGCUAAACAAUCGAGACCCAUGCAAGCAAGGUGAGAAGAACUUGCACCAGGCGAGCAAGGCAAGUUGAGAAGAAAAGAUCGGGUCAUCGAGGACCUCGAGGCAUUGAUGGAGUUGAGGAGAAGCAGUGGAUCUCUCCUUAUGGGCCUGUAGCUGUGUUGACGACGUGGGUGGUGGGUUUGUUGAACAAGGAGUGGUGAGUGCGAGGGAGUGAGGGAGUAGAGGAAAAGUAGUGAGUCUGCCGUUAUGGGCCUAUGGCUGUGGCCUCUGUGCGGAUGGAGAGUGAUUGUGGAGAAGAAGACGCAUAAGAAGUAGAAGAAUAAGGUAAAAGAAGACUAAAAGAGAGGGAGAUGAAGAAGGGUCUCUGAAAUAUAUAUUUGGGAACAGAUAUAGGGAAGGAUAUUUGGGUCUCUGAAUAAGGGUAUCUAUGGUUAAAGAUAUUUGGGAACAAAUAUAAAACAUGUUUUUUUUUAAUUUCAAUUAAGUACGGUUUUUCCGGUUUUUUUUUUUUUU
This 1223-nucleotide unclassified non-coding RNA is filed under the name Hevea brasiliensis (rubber tree). Lineage: Eukaryota; Viridiplantae; Streptophyta; Magnoliopsida; Malpighiales; Euphorbiaceae. The record is from RNAcentral.